This 446-nucleotide ribosomal RNA is filed under the name uncultured bacterium. RNAcentral describes it as "bacterial SSU rRNA". It matches the Rfam family "Bacterial small subunit ribosomal RNA", at positions 29 to 506 of the family's 1533-position model. The record is from RNAcentral.
ACGAACGCUGGCGGCAUGCUUAACACAUGCAAGUUGAACGCAGAAUAGGACUUCGGUUCUAUUGCUGAGUAGCAAACGGGUGAGUAACGCGUGGGAAUCUACCUUUUUGUGGGGGAUAACUGAGGGAAACUUCAGCUAAUACCGCAUAAGCUCUACGGAGGAAAGGCUUCGGCCGCAAGAAGAGGAGCCCGCGUCAGAUUAGGUAGUUGGUAGGGUAAAAGCCUACCAAGCCAAUGAUCUGUAGCUGGUCUGAGAGGAUGAUCAGCCACACUGGGACUGAGACACGGCCCAGACUCCUACGGGAGGCAGCAGUGGGGAAUAUUGGACAAUGGGGGAAACCCUGAUCCAGCAAUGCCGCGUGAAUGAAGAAGGCCUUAGGGUUGUAAAGUUCUUUCACCUGUGAAGAUAAUGACGGUAGCAGGAGAAGAAGCCCCGGCUAACUCCGU